UACAGAGGUCCCAAGCGUUGUUCGGAUUCACUGGGCGUAAAGGGUGCGUAGGUGGCUGGGAAAGUUUGAUGUGAAAGCUCAGGGCUCAACCCUGAAAUGGCAUUGAAUACUACUUAGCUGGAGGUUUGGAGGGGGGACUGGAAUUCUCGGUGUAGCAGUGAAAUGCGUAGAUAUCGAGAGGAACACCAGUGGCGAAGGCGAGUCCCUGGACAACACCUGACACUGAGGCACGAAAGCGUGGGGAGCAAAC
This 250-nucleotide ribosomal RNA is filed under the name uncultured bacterium. Its description in RNAcentral is "partial 16S ribosomal RNA". It matches the Rfam family "Bacterial small subunit ribosomal RNA", at positions 524 to 773 of the family's 1533-position model. The record is from RNAcentral.